Molecule: ribosomal RNA, 423 nt
Filed under: uncultured bacterium
Lineage: Bacteria
Description: partial 16S ribosomal RNA
Rfam family: Bacterial small subunit ribosomal RNA
Source: RNAcentral
GAAUUUUGGACAAUGGGCGAAAGCCUGAUCCAGCAAUGCCGCGUGCAGGAUGAAGGCCUUCGGGUUGUAAACUGCUUUUGUACGGGACGAAAAGCUUUGGGUUAAUACCCUGGUGUCAUGACGGUACCGGAAGAAUAAGCACCGGACAACUACGUGCCAGCCGCGGCGGGAAAACGCAGGGUGCAAGCGUUAAUCGGAAUUACUGGGCGUAGAGCGUGCGCAGGCGGUUUUGUAAGACAGAGGUGAAAUCCCCGGGCUCAACCUGGGAACUGCCUUUGUGACUGCAAGGCUAGAGUACGGCAGAGGGGGGUGGAAUUCCGCGUGUAGCAGUGAAAUGCGUAGAUAUGCGGAGGAACACCGAUGGCGAAGGCAACCCCCUGGGCCUGUACUGACGCUCAUGCACGAAGGCGUGGGGAGCAAACA